GUACCUGCUCCUCUUUAUGGGUGUGUGAUCCUCCUCUGGGUGGGUGCUUCUCCUCAUGGGUGGGUGCUUCUCCUCUGGGUGGGUGCUCCUCCUCAUGGGUACCUGCUCCUCUUUAUGGGUGCCUAUAGCAGUUGGCCCAAUGACACCUUCCUCCCUUCUAUCAUUCUUUCUGUUUUAAAUAAAAAAAGGGUGUUAGUGACGCAUUCGAUUUUAAGGUGGAGGGGACAGAAAAAGAGCCUAUGGUAGAAUAUCAGGCGCUUGCCCCUGCUUGCCCAGGUUCAGCUUGUGUCUGGUGCAUUCUCUGCCUUGUGAAUACAAUCUAAAGCCCACAUUUUGCAUUUGCAUAGAGAGGCUCAAUGAUUGAAGGCCUCCAUAGAAUUACCUUGAAAGAGAUGAUGGAGUCUUCCUAUGCACAACACAAUCCCAGAGGCUUCCUGUAACUUCCCAUGGUGUCAGGGGACCACUCCCAGCAGCUUGGGAAACCAGUAGUUAUGGACUUACUAAAAAACUAACAGAGAACAUGGAGGAGCAGACACUCCUAGCUAAGGCAGGUUAUAGAAGACUCUGAAAGAUAAAGCACCUUUUCACAGUUUGUUAGUGGAAUUUAUAUCCCACGGCUUUUGAGAAGGAACCAGCUCACACGGACUAUUUCUUGUAGUGUUUGAUUUUCAUUUAGAAAAUGAGGUUGCUGCAUAAACCUGGUGACCAGAGUUCAACUCUUGAAGCCCAUGUAAAAGAUGAAAGGAGAGAGUUGGCUCCAUAAAGCUGUCCUGUGAACUACACACACACACACACACACACACACACACACACACACACAGACACACACAUAUACACACACACACAUAUACACACACACAGACACACACACAUAUACACACACACACACAGACACCACACUCAUAUACACAGACAAACACACACACAUAUACACAAACACACACACAUAUACACAGACACACAGACACAUACACAGACACACACAGACACAUAUGCACAGACACACAGACACACACAGACACAUACACACUAAUAAUAAUAAUAAUAAAGCUUUUAAAAAUAAGAGGCUAUUAUAUUGUUUUAAAGCAUACAUGUUUUUAGACUUUAGGUUAUAUCUAAACACUAAUUUAAACCAAGUACUAGUUAAUAUAUUUGAUUUAAAACACAUUAUGGGCACGAAGCAUAUAAAAACUAAAUUUUAUUUUAUUCUGUUGGAAACAGAAUAAUCUGCCUUACAAAACAAUGUAAAUCAUCUUUUACCAUUGUUCUUCAAAAACAAUUUGAUAUUUGCAAGUCUAAAUUACACCUGCCAAAACUGGAAAUAAUAUUUUUUCAUUGGCCACAUUCUCCCUUCACUUCCUCUGUGUCUUUAGACAAAUGGAACCAGUAUUUCAGCAACAGUUUCACAAGAAAUAAAAGAAAGGAGGAGGGGCUGGGGAUUUAGCUCAGCGGUAGAGCGCUUGCCUAGGAAGUGCAAGGCCCUGGGUUCGGUCCCCAGCUCCGGGGAAAAAAAAAAAAAAGGGAAAAAAAAAAAAAAAAAAGAAAGGAGGAGAAAGACUCCCCGUGCCUUGUGGGUGUGAAAGGCUGGAUGUUUGCAUUCGUGGUCUCUCAGACGAAGUGCAUCUAAUAAGGCAGUGCAGGAGUUGGUGAGCGUCUGUGCCUAACCGCCCAUUUUCCCACAUACUGAGUUUCUCUGCCUAGCAGCAAACAUAUUAAUAUAUCAUGUGGGAAUUCAUUAAAUCGCUUUCUUAAAUAUCACAGUAUAUAAUAAAUGUAUCUUUGCGUAGACUGUAGAAGUAAUGGGCUUGGAAAGCUAAUUAAGUUGGACUGAAAGCCCAAGCUGAAUGAGGAAUAAAUAAGAAAACAGAACAAUUAGGUCUCCGCCUGCCUGGGCCUACUGUGAAGCGUGGUGAAUGAGGCGGGGUCGCCAGAAGGAACAGAACCCGAAAGAUGGACCUGUGGAGAGGUUGCUGGGUCUUACAGGCUGGAUAACUCCAAGGAAGGACCUUCCCACAGCAGAUUUCACCCCUGAGGGGCUGGCACCCUCGGAGGGGCUGGCUCAAGAGUCCCAGCCUAGGAACUGGCUCUGAUGCCAGUGAAGGAAUUAGCAGCAACAAUAGGGUAAAUGAGCUUGGCAUCAAGAGAGCAAAGGUCAAGAGAGCGAAGGUCAAGAGAGUGAAGGUCAAGGGAUCGAAGGUCAAGGGAUCGAAGGUCAAGGGAGCAAAAGGGGAAGAAGAACCUUCUGCCACACCUGUUUAAUCUUUGCUGCUGCUGGCAGGUGCCAUUCACACAUCAAUUAAGGCAACUGGGACAGUUCUUAAGAUGAGGUUCCUUAUCUUAGAUUCUAAGCUAAUCGUCUUAUCAGAUGAUUCUAACUUGUGGCAAGAAGACGUAAAAGGCACAAUUGCAAUAGAGAAUCGCAGAAACUCUAGUCCAGACUGUAUUGAAACCACGGAUCCCCAUGGAAUAUACCGAGGAAGCUGCCAUUCUGUGUUAUCACUGCACUCUCUGUGUAGAGAUACUCAUGAUUUACCUACACAGUUCAAGGGUUCCGAAUUUAGAAAACUAAACUAUAUAUCCUUCGAUUCUUAUUUUCCCUCUCCAACUGCCACAGAAUAAUCCCUCCAGCAAUCCUCCACAUAUCUGAAGGCCAUCACUUUACCUUAGAACUAUCCUACUGCUACUGAGGCGUUGCUGACAAGGAUGCUGUCAGAGUCAGGGUCAGCAACUGGAACGUUUGCACCCCUAGAGCACACGGGAAGGAGUCCUCCUCAGAUGCCAGCUUCAGUGGUCACUAGAGCAGAAAGGAGGGAGUCCUAGACGUGGGAUCCAGGGAAGAGUCUUAAGGCUUAAUUUUAACUUGGUUGCAGCAAAUGUCAAGGCUGUUAACAUUUCGUCUGCUCCAAUAAACCAAGACGAAAGUUUUGAUUCAUGUCCUUAACAUUCAGCUGAGCCUAUGAUUUUGAAUGUGAGCUUUGAGUUAAUUCUCUUGCCUAUUUUGCCACUGGCCAGUUCUGUGUCCUGGGGCAAUCCUCCCACUGACUCAGGUUCCUGUACAAAGACACGUGUGAUGUUCCUACACAUGAGGAUCCAUGCCCCUUCCCUGGACUCCCUUCUCCAACUCCCAGCUCGCUCACCCAGAUGAGCAUCUGUCUGAUAUUGCACCACAUGCUCCAUUGAAACACUGGUUGUGGUUUUGAUCACCCGAGGCUUUUGUUGGUUUGUCUGUGAAAUACUAGUUCUUGAAGGCUAGACUCAGUCUUGGUCUGUACUUGGUAUGAAUACCUCCUGGAAACAUUAGUUUUGUUUUGUUUUUUUUCUUCUUUUUCUUUUUUCUUUUUUUUUUCGGAGCUGGGGACUGAACUCAGGGCCUUGAGCUUGCUAGGCAAGUGCUCUACCGCUGAGCUAAAUCCCCAACCCCGAAACAUUAGUUUUAAAAGCACAAAAGAAGAGGUAAGAAAUUAGAACGAUCAAGUUAGACAAAAAUUGUCUAAAUAGCCCCACAGCUAAAACUCUAUAAUCCUCUCUCCUUGAGUGCUGAGAUUCCUAAGCAGUCUUGGAGUUUCAGAAAUUCUGUAUGAAGAGACUCAGUUUCUAAGUGGUUACAUCAGAACAAAAAAUGUAUGUAUCUUUGUGUAUGUACAUGUGUUCUAAUUCUUAGGACUGGGAUUUAGAAUUCACGUAAUGAGCCAAACUUUAUUUUACAAACGAGGAAACUGAGGCACAAUGAGACUAAGUUAUCUGGCUAAACUCCUUCACUUAGCUCAUUUUACAAGCUUUGACCUCUCUGGAGCCUCGACCUGACCCCUGUCUUUUGAAAGAAUAGCUACAACUGUGACUGCAAAUGAAAGUGUCCUGUGCUGCCCUCUGAUGUGCAGGUCGCACCUACGGACACAUUUCUGGCCACAAACCAAACCUCAAGAAACAAACAUCUCCGAGCAAACUCAUGAAAAUGUGUCCCGUCUUCUUCCGGACUGUCAGAGCGCGCUGCAGGUCUACAUUAAAUUACUCCUUCAGAGACUUUGCUAGGUAGGCUGUAGUCCCAUGAAUUUCUAGUCCCACACUGGGAAUUCGGGCUCAGUGUUCUGGUGUUAAGCCAUGAGUAGAGCUACCCUAAGACCAACUUCUUGGCAAGUAGCCUUGAGGUACAGCUGUAAGGUGACCCGGUACAGGGCUGAGGGCCAGAGCUCAGUGCCAAUGCCAAAAAAAAAAAAAAAAAAAAAAAAAACAA
Molecule: non-coding RNA, 4231 nt
Organism: Rattus norvegicus (Norway rat)
Lineage: Eukaryota; Metazoa; Chordata; Mammalia; Rodentia; Muridae
Source: RefSeq, a predicted model, not a curated record